UACGUAGGUCCCGAGCGUUGUCCGGAUUUAUUGGGCGUAAAGCGAGCACAGGUGGUUUAUUAAGUCUGGUGUAAAAGGCAGUGGCUCAACCAUUGUAUGCAUUGGAAACUGGUAGACUUGAGUGCAGGAGAGGAGAGUGGAAUUCCAUGUGUAGCGGUGUAAUGCGUAGAUAUAUGGAGGAACACCGGUGGCGAAAGCGGCUCUCUGGCCUGUAACUGACACUGAGGCUCGAAAGCGUGGGUAUCGAACAGG
This 252-nucleotide ribosomal RNA is filed under the name uncultured bacterium. Its description in RNAcentral is "partial 16S ribosomal RNA". It matches the Rfam family "Bacterial small subunit ribosomal RNA", at positions 524 to 776 of the family's 1533-position model. The record is from RNAcentral.